CCUACGGGCGGCAGCAGUAGGGAAUUUUCGUCAAUGGGCGGAACCCUGACCGAGCAACGCCGCGUGAAGGAAGAAGGAAUUCGUUCUGUAAACUUCUGUUAUAAAGGAAGAAAGACGGAUGGAGGAAAUGACAUCCGAGUGACGGUACUUUAUGAGAAAGCCACGGCUAACUACGUGCCAGCAGCCGCGGUAAUACGUAGGUGGCAAGCGUUAUCCGGAUUUAUUGGGCGUAAAGAGGGAGCAGGCGGCAGCAAAGGUCUGUGGUGAAAGACUGAAGCUAAACUUCAGUAAGCCAUAGAAACCGGGCGGCUCGAGUACAGGCGAGGAUCGUGGAAUACCAUGUGUAGCGGUGAAAUGCGUAGAUAUAUGGAAGAACACCGGUGGCGAAGGCGACGAUCUGGCCUGCAACUGACGCUCAGGCCCGAGAGCGUGGGGAGCAAAUAGGAUUAGAUACCCCAGUAGUC
RNAcentral lists this ribosomal RNA (464 nucleotides) under uncultured bacterium. Its description in RNAcentral is "partial 16S ribosomal RNA". It matches the Rfam family "Bacterial small subunit ribosomal RNA", at positions 338 to 795 of the family's 1533-position model. The record is from RNAcentral.